UUGCCUCAGUAACGGCGAGUGAAGCGGCAACAGCUCAAAUUUGAAAUCUGGCCUCACGGUCCGAGUUGUAAUUUGUAGAGGAUGCUUCGAGCAUGGUCUGGCCUAAGUUCCUUGGAACAGGACGUCAUAGAGGGUGAGAAUCCCGUAUGCGGCCAGGUGCCUACGCUCAUGUGAAGCUCCUUCGACGAGUCGAGUUGUUUGGGAAUGCAGCUCAAAAUGGGUGGUAAAUUUCAUCUAAAGCUAAAUAUUGGCCAGAGACCGAUAGCGCACAAGUAGAGUGAUCGAAAGAUGAAAAGCACUUUGGAAAGAGAGUUAAACAGUACGUGAAAUUGUUGAAAGGGAAGCGCUUGCAACCAGACUUGCGUGCGGCCGAUCAUCCGGUGUUCUCACCGGUGCACUCGGUCGCGCUCAGGCCAGCAUCGGUUUUGGUGGUUGGAUAAAGGCCCUAGGAAUGUAGCUUCUCUCGGGGAGUGUUAUAGCCUAGGGUGCAAUGCAGCCCACCGGGACCGAGGACCGCGCUUCGGCUAGGAUGCUGGCGUAAUGGUUGUAAGCGACCCGUCUUGAAACACGGACCAAGGAGUCUAACAUCUAUGCGAGUGUUUGGGUGUCAAACCCAUACGCGUAAUGAAAGUGAACGGAGGUGAGAACCCUUAAGGGUGCAUCAUCGACCGAUCCUGAUGUCUUCGGAUGGAUUUGAGUAAGAGCAUAGCUGUUGGGACCCGAAAGAUGGUGAACUAUGCCUGAAUAGGGUGAAGCCAGAGGAAACUCUGGUGGAGGCUCGCAGCGGUUCUGACGUGCAAAUCGAUCGUCAAAUUUGGGCAUAGGGGCGAAAGACUAAUCGAACCAUCUAGUAGCUGGUUCCUG
Molecule: ribosomal RNA, 864 nt
Filed under: Thelebolales sp.
Lineage: Eukaryota; Fungi; Ascomycota; Leotiomycetes; Thelebolales
Description: partial large subunit ribosomal RNA
Rfam family: Eukaryotic large subunit ribosomal RNA
Source: RNAcentral